This is a long non-coding RNA of Gavialis gangeticus (Gharial), 75 nucleotides long. RefSeq lists it as uncharacterized. NCBI's taxonomy places the organism in Eukaryota, Metazoa, Chordata, Crocodylia, Gavialidae. The transcript is spliced from 3 exons. The record is from RefSeq and is a predicted model, not a curated record.
CAGAGCUGUCUCUAGGGGUGUGCAGGGUCUGGGGCAUAUAAGCCUGUGUGGGGCCUGGGGUGGGUGGCAAGCAAC